GUGGGUAUAGCUCAGUGGUAGAGCUCACGCUUAGCAUGAAUAAGGUCCUGGGUUCAGUCCCCAGUACCUCCA
RNAcentral lists this transfer RNA (72 nucleotides) under Camelus bactrianus (Bactrian camel). It matches the Rfam family "tRNA". From Rfam's summary of the family: Transfer RNA (tRNA) molecules are approximately 80 nucleotides in length. RNAcentral also lists the same sequence under 1 other name. Lineage: Eukaryota; Metazoa; Chordata; Mammalia; Artiodactyla; Camelidae. The record is from Rfam by way of RNAcentral.